CACAAAAUAACCCUAGAUUUCCUUCACUCUCAGGAGCUCUUCCUCAAUUCUGCAUUUCAAUCUCUCUCAAGGACUGAAGGAUCAAGUUGGCACGCAGGCAGCACAAAGAUUAUCUAGACAUGUCAGUAAAGUUAACACCUUCUAAGAGACCAUAUGAUCGAAGCAUUACAGAAACUAAUGACAGAGGAAAGUGGCAAAAAUCAGCUGGUUUAGGUUCAGAGAAAUCACCAUUGAAGACAUCUGCUCCAAGCAAGUUUCUCCGUGUCCUCUGUCCUGUUUCAAGAAUUGGAUUUAUCAUUGGGGAAGAUGGCAACAUCCUUCCUGAAAUAGGUCAGGCAACUGGUGCACAGGUUCGGGUUGAGGAAGCUAUCCCUGGAUGUGAUGAGAGAGUGGUUGUUGUUUUAGGUUCGGGUGAUAAAGAUGGAGCAGGAUCUGAGCAGCAUGAGGCCAAGGUUGAGGAAACUGACACAAAAGAUACGGACAAUGAGUUGGCUGAAAAUGAUGGCAAUGGCCAAAGUAAACAGUCUGCUGAGGUUGAAGACUCCAAAUUGAGAAGAGAAAUUUCAGCUAUUCAGGAAGCUCUGUUGUGCUUAUUUGAAAGAAUGGUUAAAGAAGAUUUGGAGAAGGACAGGGGAGAUGAUGAGGGUAAUAAUUCUUCCUUUUUAACUUUAAGGUUGCUCAUAUUCAGCAGCCAAGUGAACUGCUUGAUGGGGAAAGGUGGUAGUGUCUUAAAGCAGAUUUCGUCUGAGAGCGGGGCUGAGAUACACAUUCUUGCAAGGGAGAAACUUCCUCUUUGUGCUUCUUCAUCUGAUGAUCUUGUUCAGAUUUCUGGGCAACAUGGUGCUGUUAAGAAAGCUAUUGAGUCUAUUUCUCAACAACUUCUUGAAAGCUCCCCUCUGGAGCAAGAUCCUUUGCCAGCCAAUGCAAGUGGGCCCUCUUCUCAACCGUUUGGCCAUCGCUUUUCUAGCCAGGAUUCACAACCUCGACCAAAUAAUCCUUUCAAUGGACCAAGACCUCCUUAUUCUACUGGAUAUCAUGAUGGUGAAACUGGAUUUCGUGGCCAAAUGAAUCCUCCUCAGGAUGCCUUAACUUUCCGAUUACUUUGUCCUGAUGAAAAAGUGGGAGGCGUAAUUGGAAAAGGAGGGAGUAUAAUCAAGACAAUUCAACAUGAGACUGGCUGUGAGAUCCAAGUUCUAGAAGGUGCAGCUGAUUCUGAAGAUCGGAUUAUUGCCAUAUCUGGUUCGGUGCAUCCACAUGAUAGGAUAUCUCCUCCACAAGAUGCUGUCCUUCGUGUACAGUCCAGAAUUUUUAGGGCUCUACCUGAAAGCAAGGACAACACAAUGCUAGCAAAACUUCUUGUCUCCUCUAAUCAAAUUGGAUGCCUUUUGGGCAAAGGUGGUUCUAUUAUUGCUGAAAUGAGGAAAUCAACUGGUGCUUAUAUUCGUAUUCUGGGGAAGGAUCAAACACCAAAUUGUGCUUCUGAGAAUGAGGAAGUAGUUCAGGUAAAUGGUGAAUUUGAUACAGUUCAAGAGGCUCUUUUUCAGAUAACCUCAAGAUUGCAGGAGCAUUUCUUUCGUGAUGCGUUUCCUUCUAUGAAUCGACCGACAAAUCCUCGCUUUCUGGACCAUAUUCCUCUUCCUUCAUACCGGGGAAGGAGGGAACUUUCUCCUGCUGGAAUGUAUCCUAGUAUGGGUCCACCAUUUCACCAGUUUGAUGGCAUUGGAGGCCUGCCUCCACGUGGUGGUUUCCAUCCACAUGAUGAUCGUCCUCCUUUUAUGCCUAAUUUUCACCGGUCAGGCGUCCGACCUCCUGUUUCUGAACGGAUGCCAUCUUCUGGACCUUGGGUUCCCCAGGGACUGAUUGAUGGUGGUGGUCCAAUGGGCAUGCCUGACUAUGCAGCAGGUCCCCAGAGAAGAAUUGGUGGAUUUGGAGGGGGAAGUCCAGCUAUUAUAACUAGCACCAAGGUGGAAGUAGUUGUUCCUCGUUCUGUUGUUCCUGAAAUCUAUGGGGAUGGUGGGGGAUGUCUCAGACAAAUAUGUGAGAUUUCUGAUGCAAAAGUUAUCAUUAAUGAUCCCAAGCCUGGAGCAACAGAGGCUAUGAUAAUUAUAUCUGGAACACCUGAGCAAACAAAUGCUGCGCAGUCUCUUAUUCAGGCAUUUGUGAUGCUUGAGACAGAAGCAGCAUGAUUUUUGAUACUAAGUUGUUUGGCAGCCAUGAUUCGAAUGUUCUGCUGUGGUUUACACAUUUACAUCUAGGUUCCUUUUGAGAUGAAGACGCGAGCCCUUGAAUGGAUCCAGCAGCAGCGACGAGCGAUACAACGAGGCAAGUCCAGCUCAGGAUCUUCAGCCAUAUCCAUCUGAACGAGUACUUGGGGAUCUUGGCCUGCGCGAUGUGCAUCUCAAUCGGAAAGUAGACGGUGAGUGGAUAGAACGAGGCUGCCCCAAUCAGCCCCAAGAAGUCGUUGAAGAAUGGGAAUAUCAUUGCGACCACGGCUGUGACUAUGACAUAACAUGAUCUCCACACCAGCCUGAAGAAGUUGAUGGAGUAAGUGCCGAAGCACGGAACAUUCACAUCAUAUUCUGUGGUUAUGAAUUUGUUGUCUGGCCAUCUCUGUCUGCAGCGAGACUCGACGAAGCUGAAUAUUGGUUGGCAAAAAACCUGGAAACAGAGAGGUUAGAUUCAUGAGUUCAUCAGAUCAUUGUUGCAGACAAGUAAAUGCUACUGGAAAACACUAAACCGCAUAUGAUCAAUGAACUGUGUGUGUGUUACCUGGUAAGCUCCGAUGAGAUGGAUGGCGAUGCAGACGUUGGCGAAGUCGAUCAGCCAGAAGGGCUCGUAGAAGCCGAAACCGGUGAGGAAGUUGCCGGGAGCAUUGUUUCCAAACGCGGCGUAGCCAAGGCAACCACAUAGGACAUAGAACAUUGUGGUUGUGGUCACUCCAACCCCAGAUGCUUUCUUCAUUACCUUGUUUUCUGGUGGGUGUGAUCUCAAUGUGUCCUGCAAUCACAUUUUGACCCAUUAUUUCAUCUUUUACUAGAUCUCAUGAAGACCGAUCAAAACUCAGUUGGAUUAGUUAGUUUCAAGCAGAAAGGAUCAAAACUCAGUUGGAUUAGUUAGUUUCAAGCAGAAAGAAUCCGAUUACUCGGGUCUAACUGGAUUCAACUUUUAAAUUUUCGCGACUCAUUUCAAACACUCUACUAAUCUGGUUGGUCAUGCUAUAACUCCCAUUCCGGUA
RNA transcript from Ipomoea triloba (trilobed morning glory), 3235 nucleotides. It is a transcript of the gene named KH domain-containing protein HEN4-like, with no coding region annotated. The record is from RefSeq and is a predicted model, not a curated record. Lineage: Eukaryota; Viridiplantae; Streptophyta; Magnoliopsida; Solanales; Convolvulaceae. The transcript has 10 exons.